UGGCAUGGCUCCGAGGCUGCGA
This 22-nucleotide non-coding RNA is filed under the name Arabidopsis thaliana (thale cress). Lineage: Eukaryota; Viridiplantae; Streptophyta; Magnoliopsida; Brassicales; Brassicaceae. The record is from RNAcentral.